GUGAAAAGAGAACCACUAGUUUAUUAGACAUUAUGGAGUAGCACAGCUUCACUUUUUGAAUUUUUUUGGUGGCAUGGAACAGGGUGGUAGGUAACUUCCUUUUCCAGCCUCAUUUUUUCAUCAUUUUAAACACAAGGUUUGUUAAUUGUUUUAAAGGCUAAGUUGAGUUAGUUGUAUACUACAUGUAUCCAUUUGUAAUUAUGUAAAAGUGAGUAUGCGUUUAUUUGUAAAUAAUUUUGUUGUCAACUCAUUAUUUCCAUUAGUUGGAACACCGAUGGAGGGACUAAUGGGGUACGUUGUUACGGAGAAGGACUAGAGAACUUAUAUUUUGCUCAACCUGAGCAAGAACUACUUCAGAUCAAAGAACUAUCCUUCCUUUCGACUGAAAAAGCUACUCCCUCCUGGCUGGCCUUGCAAGAGCGGGUG
Molecule: long non-coding RNA, 426 nt
Filed under: Olea europaea (common olive)
Lineage: Eukaryota; Viridiplantae; Streptophyta; Magnoliopsida; Lamiales; Oleaceae
Description: long non-coding RNA (OEUR_LNC011230)
Source: RNAcentral